Non-coding RNA from Turicibacter sanguinis PC909, 101 nucleotides. The record is from Rfam. Lineage: Bacteria; Bacillati; Bacillota; Erysipelotrichia; Erysipelotrichales; Turicibacteraceae.
GGUGGUUAUCAAGGUUAUUUUCAUAUAUAACGCAAAUAUGGUGCGUAAGUUUCUACCCGAUUUCCGUAAAAAAUCGGACUAUGAGAAGAGAUAGAACAAGG